CCUACGGGAGGCAGCAGUGAGGAAUAUUGGUCAAUGGACGAGAGUCUGAACCAGCCAAGUAGCGUGAAGGAUGACUGCCCUAUGGGUUGUAAACUUCUUUUAUAUGGGAAUAAAAUGUUCCACGUGUGGGAUUUUGUAUGUACCAUAUGAAUAAGGAUCGGCUAACUCCGUGCCAGCAGCCGCGGUAAUACGGAGGAUCCGAGCGUUAUCCGGAUUUAUUGGGUUUAAAGGGAGCGUAGGUGGAUUGUUAAGUCAGUUGUGAAAGUUUGCGGCUCAACCGUAAAAUUGCAGUUGAAACUGGCAGUCUUGAGUACAGUAGAGGUGGGCGGAAUACGUGGUGUAGCGGUGAAAUGCUUAGAUAUCACGAAGAACUCCGAUUGCGAAGGCAGUUCACUGGACUGCAACUGACACUGAGGCUCGAAAGUGUGGGUAUCAAACAGGAUUAGAUACCCGUGUAGUC
This 460-nucleotide ribosomal RNA is filed under the name uncultured bacterium. RNAcentral describes it as "partial 16S ribosomal RNA". It matches the Rfam family "Bacterial small subunit ribosomal RNA", at positions 338 to 795 of the family's 1533-position model. The record is from RNAcentral.